UGCAAGGUCAGUAUCAAUCCAUGCUAUUUCUCCAACGCUGUAGCUGUGAGUAACUCUUCCAGCACAGAGCAUUUUUCCUGAAGGAGUGGCUUCUGUUUUGAAUUCAGCUGGACACUCUGAUUCAUCCUGCAGUGGGCGUAGGCAGGGAGACUCUGGUAAAGAGAGCCCGUUUUCUACUGCAAUGUCAAGAUGUUGCACUGGGCAUCGAUUUGGUAGGCGCCAGACCUCAACUGGACUUUCUCAAACAUUGUACAAAGUAGCUGUGCUCUCUCCGAAUAUAUCCUUUGGGUCACACCCUCUGUAACAAUGGCUUUAACCAGCUGCAAGAUGGGGUUGUCACCGUCAUUCCUGACAACAUUCUGAAAUCCUGUGCUGUCACAGAAACCACAACAUAAGCACUGACAGAAAGCAUCAAAUGCACAUGUGUUCAGCACAGAGAUUGCUGACUUCCCAACUCUAAUUGGGGGAAGAAUUUGUCCCUUCCAGUUUUCC
This is a long non-coding RNA of Cyprinodon tularosa, 492 nucleotides long. RefSeq lists it as uncharacterized. NCBI's taxonomy places the organism in Eukaryota, Metazoa, Chordata, Actinopteri, Cyprinodontiformes, Cyprinodontidae. The transcript has 3 exons. The record is from RefSeq and is a predicted model, not a curated record.